CACGUAGGCGGAUCAGAAAGUCAGAGGUGAAAUCCCAGGGCUCAACCUUGGAACUGCCUUUGAAACUCCUGGUCUUGAGGUCGAGAGAGGUGAGUGGAAUUCCGAGUGUAGAGGUGAAAUUCGUAGAUAUUCGGAGGAACACCAGUGGCGAAGGCGGCUCACUGGCUCGAUACUGACGCUGAGGUGCGAAAGCGUGGGAGCAAACA
RNAcentral lists this ribosomal RNA (206 nucleotides) under uncultured bacterium. RNAcentral describes it as "partial 16S ribosomal RNA". It matches the Rfam family "Bacterial small subunit ribosomal RNA", at positions 568 to 774 of the family's 1533-position model. The record is from RNAcentral.